UGGGGAAUUUUGGACAAUGGGCGCAAGCCUGAUCCAGCAAUGCCGCGUGCAGGAUGAAGGCCUUCGGGUUGUAAACUGCUUUUAUACGGAGCGAAAAGGUCUGCCCUAAUACGGUGGGCUCAUGACGGUACCGUAAGAAUAAGCACCGGCUAACUACGUGCCAGCAGCCGCGGUAAUACGUAGGGUGCGAGCGUUAAUCGGAAUUACUGGGCGUAAAGCGUGCGCAGGCGGUUAUAUAAGACAGAGGUGAAAUCCCCGGGCUCAACCUGGGAACUGCCUUUGUGACUGCAUAGCUAGAGUACGGUAGAGGGGGAUGGAAUUCCGCGUGUAGCAGUGAAAUGCGUAGAUAUGCGGAGGAACACCGAUGGCGAAGGCAAUCCCCUGGACCUGUACAGACGCUCAUGCACGAAAGCGUGGGGAGCAAACA
RNAcentral lists this ribosomal RNA (427 nucleotides) under uncultured bacterium. Its description in RNAcentral is "bacterial SSU rRNA". It matches the Rfam family "Bacterial small subunit ribosomal RNA", at positions 355 to 774 of the family's 1533-position model. The record is from RNAcentral.